UGUGGGAGCGAGCCUGCUCGCGGCUCAGGCAACACGGUUUGCCUGAAGCACGGCACUGAUCCCAUCGCGAGCAGGCUCGCUCCCACA
This 87-nucleotide unclassified non-coding RNA is filed under the name Pseudomonas deceptionensis. The record is from RNAcentral. Lineage: Bacteria; Pseudomonadati; Pseudomonadota; Gammaproteobacteria; Pseudomonadales; Pseudomonadaceae.